CGGCCCCCAGGGAUCAUUUUUAUAGUAUGUGACUAGAGAAGUUUCUCUGAUCCUGUAGCGCACCUGAAACCACGGGGAGGAGCCAGAGCAUCCUCUCCUGAGCGUGAAGCUCUAGGGGUUGCUUCUGCAACUGCCUUUGGCCAUUGAUGAUCGUUCUUCCCUUCCUUUGAAAGGGGUAGAGGGAGAGGAUGCAGUCGGAGUGGU
Small nucleolar RNA from Suncus etruscus (white-toothed pygmy shrew), 204 nucleotides. RefSeq annotates it as small nucleolar RNA U3. The transcript has a single exon. The record is from RefSeq and is a predicted model, not a curated record. Lineage: Eukaryota; Metazoa; Chordata; Mammalia; Eulipotyphla; Soricidae.